AAAUGUUAAGAAAAUAUCUGAAAUGAAGGAAGGAGUGUAUUCAAUGUAUCACAUUUAAGUUAUAAUGAAUAAACCUUCACUUUUUCUAAUACACAGAUAAUUAAUCAUGACGUUCCUGAAAAAAAAUGAAAAGUACAAAUGUUAACUUUUGAAAAUUACACCUGUCCUUUUUUUGUUUCAGGAAGUGAUUUGGAUUAACGCAGAUGCAAAGGCUAAAAUAAUAAUAAUAAUAUUUUGCUUCACAAUAUAGAAGGAAUAAAGGAGAUAAAAAAUAAUCCUUUAUAAGGCAUGAAUCACCUGUGCUCUUUCACUGAGCUUCCAGAUUUCACAAGCUGAGGAAAGGCUGACAUUGCUGGACAAACAGAAAGAAGACCCCCUCAUUACGCUGCUUGGUUCCAGAGGACCCAAAGACAAGAUGAAGCCUCUGAUUUUGUUUGCAAUCAUUUUGAUCUUCACUGCUUACCCCACGUCUAGCCAUAGCUCUGAAAAGAAUUCUAAACCAUUUAAACAAAGAAGUCCUGGAAAGUCAAACUACGAACAGUUUACAACAUUGGAAACGGUUCCUGCAGUUACCCCUGGUCUCCUAGAUCUCGUCCGCCAUCAAAGCCCUCACCAACCAAACCUCCCACGUUGUCCAUCAUCUGGACCUACGCAACCACCUGAGAAUGAUGUAAACCCUAGUUCUCAAGCGCUGCUAGCUACCUCUGCUCCUGCAACUGUUGCGGCCACCACGGCCACUUCCAUUGCCUCUAUCAGGAAAACUACAGGUGCCACUUCCAACACCACAGCUCCCAGCAGGCUCCAAUCUGAGACUGUCACAAACACUGCAGCAGCUGAGUCUAACCCAGCUGAGGUGGCUGACACCACCCUUGCCAACCAGCAAGAAUAG
This 889-nucleotide long non-coding RNA is filed under the name Macaca fascicularis (crab-eating macaque). RNAcentral describes it as "lncRNA (ENSMFAG00000057774.1)". The record is from RNAcentral. Lineage: Eukaryota; Metazoa; Chordata; Mammalia; Primates; Cercopithecidae.